CAACGUGGGGAACCUGUCCUCCAGUCGGGGAUACCCGCUCGAAAGGGCGGCUAAUACCGGAUGCGUUCUUGGGGUCGCGAGAUCUUGAGAGGAAAGGCGGCGAAAGCUGUCGCUGGUGGAGGGCCUUGCGGCUUAUCAGCUAGUUGGUGAGGUAAUGGCUCACCAAGGCUAUGACGGGUAGCUGGUCUGAGAGGACGACCAGCCACACGGGGACUGAGACACGGCCCCG
This 229-nucleotide ribosomal RNA is filed under the name uncultured bacterium. RNAcentral's name for it is "partial 16S ribosomal RNA". It matches the Rfam family "Bacterial small subunit ribosomal RNA", at positions 113 to 334 of the family's 1533-position model. The record is from RNAcentral.